AACGAACGCUGGCGGCAUGCCUAACACAUGCAAGUCGAACGAAGCCUUCGGGCUUAGUGGCGCACGGGUGCGUAACGCGUGGGAAUCUGCCCUUGGGUUCGGAAUAACAGUUAGAAAUGACUGCUAAUACCGGAUGAUGUCUUCGGACCAAAGAUUUAUCGCCCAAGGAUGAGCCCGCGUAGGAUUAGGUAGUUGGCGGGGUAAUGGCCCACCAAGCCGACGAUCCUUAGCUGGUCUGAGAGGAUGAUCAGCCACACUGGGACUGAGACACGGCCCAGACUCCUACGGGAGGCAGCAGUGGGGAAUAUUGGACAAUGGGCGAAAGCCUGAUCCAGCAAUGCCGCGUGAGUGAUGAAGGCCUUAGGGUUGUAAAGCUCUUUUACCAGGGAUGAUAAUGACAGUACCUGGAGAAUAAGCUCCGGCUAACUCCGUGCCAGCAGCCGCAGUAA
This 449-nucleotide ribosomal RNA is filed under the name uncultured bacterium. RNAcentral's name for it is "partial 16S ribosomal RNA". It matches the Rfam family "Bacterial small subunit ribosomal RNA", at positions 29 to 523 of the family's 1533-position model. The record is from RNAcentral.